AGAGAGAGACAUGCGCGCAUAUCAAUAAGCGGAGGAAAAGAAACUAACAGGAUUCCCCUAGUAACGGCGAGUGAAGCGGGAAGAGCUCAAAUUUGAAAUCUUAAAGGGUUUCCCUUUACGAAUUGUAGUUUAAAGAAGUGUUUUCUGUUGAGGUUUUGGUAAAAGUUCUUUGGAAUAGGACAUCAUAGAGGGUGAGAAUCCCGUAUUUGACCUUUACUUUCAACUUUGUGAUACACUUUCAAAGAGUCGGAUUGUUUGGGAAUGCAGUCCAAAAUGGGUGGUAAAUUUCAUCUAAAGCUAAAUAUUGGCGAGAGACCGAUAGCGAACAAGUACCGUGAGGGAAAGAUGAAAAGAACUUUGAAAAGAGAGUUAAACAGUACGUGAAAUUGUCAAAAGGGAAGCGUUUGACACCAGUGUUGUUUUUCUGAAAAUCAAUUAAAGAACUGUUUAUGCUAAGUUGUUUAGACUUUAUCAGCUAACUGUUUAGUUUUGAGCUUUUCUUUAAUGCACUUUUCAGUUAACAAGUCAACAUCAAUUUCUUUUGCUGUAAAAAAGCUUGAGGAAGGUGGCUUGAGAUUCGUCUUAAGUGUUUAUAGCCUCUUGCCUAUGCAGUCGGAGAGAUUGAGGUCUGCAGCGUAGAUCCUUCGGGGCUAAAUGCAUUUGUGCUAAGUUAUAGCAUUUUAUAGACAACUUGUUGACUAUGAUUUGUCUUGUAGCUUACUCGCUUAUGUUAUUUUACCUACGCUUAGGAUGUUGACGCAUGAGAUAUACGC
Molecule: ribosomal RNA, 773 nt
Filed under: uncultured Neocallimastigales
Lineage: Eukaryota; Fungi; Neocallimastigomycota; Neocallimastigomycetes; Neocallimastigales
Description: partial large subunit ribosomal RNA
Rfam family: Eukaryotic large subunit ribosomal RNA
Source: RNAcentral